ACACAUGCAAGUCGAGCGGUAACAGAUCCAGCUUGCUGGAUGCUGACGAGCGGCGGACGGGUGAGUAAUGCAUAGGAAUCUGCCCGAUAGUGGGGGAUAACCUGGGGAAACCCAGGCUAAUACCGCAUACGUCCUACGGGAGAAAGGGGGCUUCGGCUCCCGCUAUCGGAUGAGCCUAUGUCGGAUUAGCUAGUUGGUGAGGUAAAGGCUCACCAAGGCAACGAUCCGUAGCUGGUCUGAGAGGAUGAUCAGCCACAUCGGGACUGAGACACGGCCCGAACUCCUACGGGAGGCAGCAGUGGGGAAUAUUGGACAAUGGGGGCAACCCUGAUCCAGCCAUGCCGCGUGUGUGAAGAAGGCCCUCGGGUUGUAAAGCACUUUCAGCGAGGAAGAACGCCUAGCGGUUAAUACCCGCUAGGAAAGACAUCACUCGCAGAAGAAGCACCGGCUAACUCCGUGCCAGCAGCCGCGGUAAUACGGAGGGUGCAAGCGUUAAUCGGAAUUACUGGGCGUAAAGCGCGCGUAGGUGGCUUGAUAAGCCGGUUGUGAAAGCCCCGGGCUCAACCUGGGAACGGCAUCCGGAACUGUCAAGCUAGAGUGCAGGAGAGGAAGGUAGAAUUCCCGGUGUAGCGGUGAAAUGCGUAGAGAUCGGGAGGAAUACCAGUGGCGAAGGCGGCCUUCUGGACUGACACUGACACUGAGGUGCGAAAGCGUGGGUAGCAAACAGGAUUAGAUACCCUGGUAGUCCACGCCGUAAACGAUGUCGACCAGCCGUUGGGUGCCUAGCGCACUUUGUGGCG
Molecule: ribosomal RNA, 800 nt
Filed under: Halomonas sp.
Lineage: Bacteria; Pseudomonadati; Pseudomonadota; Gammaproteobacteria; Oceanospirillales; Halomonadaceae
Description: bacterial SSU rRNA
Rfam family: Bacterial small subunit ribosomal RNA
Source: RNAcentral